RNAcentral lists this long non-coding RNA (511 nucleotides) under Oryza sativa Indica Group (long-grained rice). Its description in RNAcentral is "lncRNA OsMH63_10G006790". The record is from RNAcentral. Lineage: Eukaryota; Viridiplantae; Streptophyta; Magnoliopsida; Poales; Poaceae.
AUGGGGCACGGGACGGGCGCAUUCUUCUGGAACCACAUCUUCUGCCAAUCUUCUAACUUCGCGCCCCAAUUCUCCGUCGGUGGCGUUCACCGUUCAGUAGUCCAUGCUGGGGCGCCAGAACACAAUAUCGAUGUUCGACUGGCUGGACAUUACGGCGGCGGCGUAGUACGGGUGAUCGUCGGACAGGGCGGCGGAGAGAGUGACGGCGUGGAUGUGGAUGAUGAUGGAGUACUUGUUGCUCCCGCGGGCGUUGACGCUGUAGCGGAGUCAUGUCGAGAGGGCGAUACGCGAGCCGGUGCAGAGGUUGAGCAGCGCGUGGCCGCGCGACUCGGGGAGCUCGGCGGCGAGCCAGCCGCCCGGGAAGGAGCCGUAGAAUCUCGCGAUGCGGGCGUCGGCGAACAGGCCGGGACGGUGGUGUGUGUCCCCACUGGCGACGCAGAAGAAGGAGGUCGUGGUUGUGGAAGGCAUGAGCAGCAACGAGAUCUCACGCGGCGGAGAUGAGCGAGCUGGA